CGUCUCUGGUAAUGCUAUGUACUACAACGUGCAAUCAGACAAAACAUUUCAGAUUUUAAAAUAAAAUGGCCAAUAGAGUACGAAAAUUGGCAGUUUAUGUACACGAUUCGGUUAGUAAAUCUUUGUUCAAUUUUCAAAUAGAUUUCAAGCAGAUACUUUCAGAAUUCAGGUGUGAUGCGAUGAACUAAGGGAGAAAAACGGACUUUUCGUCUUUAGAAUCAAGUUACGAAUUCUGAAUUUGUGGUUACGAACGGCUACGCAUUGGUUACUAACUAAUGAUAUAAAUUUUUGUGGACAAUUCGGACAUAGGGAUGGUAGGGUAGUGUACCUACAUUUAUGUUAACAUUUUUUGUAGACAUGAUAUUUUACUUUUAUUUUUCCAUGUUUGUGUUGCGGUCUGUGCCGAGUGGAUUGAACACAUGUCACACGUGUGUAUUACGUGGAUACAAUGUAUCAAGAUACCUAUUGUUUAGAUCAUUUAGGCCAUAGACGUAUUGAAUGUAGUGUAGGUAAUUGUUUAUUUAUCAUUUACACACCUGAAUAAUUUCACGAAAUGUUUUUGUGAACUGUGUUAAUAUUUUGUCAUUGAUAGUCAGAUAAUAAAAGAGUUUUGUAAGCAUUACCUACUAUGUAAUGGAAUUAUAAGAAAAAACGUUCAAAGCAAUAUUUCAUUAUUUUUUAUUUAUUUUGUAACAUCAGUUGUGUAUUGUAUAAUUGAACUUUUAUAAACGAUCCCAAUCAUGGUUCGUUGUAGUAAUUACAUUAUUAUAUAUGUGGUGUCUAUUAUACUUUGUAUUACAUUAAUUUGUGAAGGGCAUUUAAAUCCGGGUAAUGGUUUUCACUAAUAAAAAUGAACUAAAUUAUCCUUAUUUAUAGGAGAAAAUACAACGGACCAGCAACCCCCAAAAAGUUGUUUAUGGCCGAGUAAGAAGCAUCACCUACAUUUGCAUUAUAACACAUUAUAGGAUAAUAUUUAAACCUAUUGAAGUGUAUUACAAGUCAUCCUUCAUAAAUAAUAAAUAUAAUAUUAGCAUUAUGAACUUUUAUUUUAAUAUCAUUCAUCAACUAUUUAUACAUCAGUGAUCAGUCGUAAAAUUGGGUGGAAAAUAGUUUUAUUGAAGUAUAAAAUAAAGUGAUGUUGUCCUGGUUACAAUUGGUCACAAGAAUCAUGGCUUAAAUAUACAAGGUUAUUGCACAUAGCCAAAUUUUUAUCAAAUAAAAAUAAUAAUACAGCGUAAGGGUACGGUCCAUAUCAUAGCAUACAGGGCCGGCUCUAGC
Long non-coding RNA from Myzus persicae (green peach aphid), 1278 nucleotides. RefSeq lists it as uncharacterized. The transcript is spliced from 3 exons. The record is from RefSeq and is a predicted model, not a curated record. NCBI's taxonomy places the organism in Eukaryota, Metazoa, Arthropoda, Insecta, Hemiptera, Aphididae.